This 103-nucleotide microRNA precursor is filed under the name Marmota monax (woodchuck). The record is from RNAcentral. Lineage: Eukaryota; Metazoa; Chordata; Mammalia; Rodentia; Sciuridae.
AAAGGGAUAGCUGGGUCAAAUGGUGGUUCCAUUCCCAGAUUUCCAAGGAAUCUUCAUAUUACUUUCCAUAUUGGAUACAACAAUUUGUAGUCCCACCAGCAAU